This 329-nucleotide ribosomal RNA is filed under the name Mantidactylus mocquardi. RNAcentral describes it as "partial 16S ribosomal RNA". It matches the Rfam family "Bacterial large subunit ribosomal RNA", at positions 2018 to 2513 of the family's 2925-position model. The record is from RNAcentral. Lineage: Eukaryota; Metazoa; Chordata; Amphibia; Anura; Mantellidae.
GUCUCCUUUUUUUAAUCAGUGAAACUAAUCUCCCCGUGAAGAAGCGGGGAUAUUCUUAUAAGACGAGAAGACCCCAUGGAGCUUUAAACCCAACUAUAUACCUAAUUAUUAUAACCACUUAAUCCCUUAGCACUAAUAUACUUGGUUUUAGGUUGGGGCGACCACGGAGUAUAAUUAAACCUCCACAAUGAACGAAACAACCCUUCUUAUCUAAGAGUCACACCUCUAAGAAUUAGCACACUAACAUAAAAUGACCCAUUAUUGAUCAACGAACCAAGUUACCCUGGGGAUAACAGCGCAAUCCAUUUUAAGAGCCCCUAUCGACAAAU